CUCUUCCAUCGAAAUGUCAUACUCUUCUUGGUAAAACGAUACAAAUCUAGAAGUUAAUUGAACAUGGAAAAUCCCUGCUGUGUGGAUGAAAAUUCUACAUAUAAACUCUCGAAAGAGUAUCAUAGAAAAGACUUUCCUCUUUUCUAUAUAAAGCAUCUGCUUCAGGAAGAAAUUGAAGAAGAAGAGUUUAUUGCGUUCGUACUUUACAGGAUAUUUGAGAACG
Molecule: long non-coding RNA, 223 nt
Organism: Centruroides sculpturatus (bark scorpion)
Lineage: Eukaryota; Metazoa; Arthropoda; Arachnida; Scorpiones; Buthidae
Exons: 2
Source: RefSeq, a predicted model, not a curated record